This 582-nucleotide ribosomal RNA is filed under the name uncultured bacterium. Its description in RNAcentral is "bacterial SSU rRNA". It matches the Rfam family "Bacterial small subunit ribosomal RNA", at positions 8 to 612 of the family's 1533-position model. The record is from RNAcentral.
AGAGUUUGAUCCUGGCUCAGAAUGAACGCUGGCGGCGUGCUUAACACAUGCAAGUCGAACGAUGAACCUAGCUUGCUAGGGGAUUAGUGGCGCACGGGUGAGUAAUAUAUAGAUAAUGUACCUCUUAGUCUGGGAUAGCCAUUGGAAACGAUGAUUAAUACUAGAUACUCCUUCUAACUCUAAUGUUAGUCGGGAAAGUUUUUCGCUAAGAGAUCAGUCUAUAUCCCAUCAGUUAGUUGGUAGGGUAAUGGCCUACCAAGGCAAUGACGGGUAGCGGGUUUGAGAGGAUGAUCCGCCACACUGGUACUGAGACACGGACCAGACUCCUACGGGAGGCAGCAGUGAGGAAUAUUGCACAAUGGAGGAAACUCUGAUGCAGCAACGCCGCGUGGAGGAUGACGCAUUUCGGUGUGUAAACUCCUUUUAUAUGUCAAGAAAAUGACGGUAGCAUAUGAAUAAGCACCGGCUAACUCCGUGCCAGCAGCCGCGGUAAUACGGAGGGUGCAAGCGUUAUUCGGAAUCACUGGGCGUAAAGGACGCGUAGGCUGGUUAUCAAGUCAGAUGUGAAAUCCUAUGGCUCAA